CAAGAGCUAUUUAAAGUUUGGCUUUUCACUCGCAUGCACAGCGCAAAGAAGCAGGAAUAUAGGAGCACCGGCCCUGGGUUUCAGUGUUCUCCAUAUUAUGCUGUAAAUUCAUUUUCUGGCAGCUGACUGUCACUGGAAACUAUUAUCAUAUGAACUCAGAUUCUGAUCUGCCCUACACCUUCAUGGAAAUGUGUUACGAGAAUGAAGACCCCAUAAAAUGUCCAUUCAAUGACAAGAGAUC
This is a long non-coding RNA of Xenopus laevis (African clawed frog), 241 nucleotides long. RefSeq lists it as uncharacterized. The transcript is spliced from 3 exons. Lineage: Eukaryota; Metazoa; Chordata; Amphibia; Anura; Pipidae. The record is from RefSeq and is a predicted model, not a curated record.